Non-coding RNA from Plectropomus leopardus (leopard coralgrouper), 277 nucleotides. Lineage: Eukaryota; Metazoa; Chordata; Actinopteri; Perciformes; Serranidae. The record is from RefSeq and is a predicted model, not a curated record.
GAAGUAAAGUUCAAAUGCUGGUGAGCUGGCUGGUUGAGUCAGUCCAGUCAGCUGGCUCAUUACUUCUCUCUGCUCUGCUUUCUGCUCAUCAUCAUCACUCUGCUUCAGACUCUCUGCUUGGUUCAGAUCACCGUGGUGUUCCAGUCCCAGUCCACCCUGCAGGAGACCAAACUGAAGGAUCUGACACACAGACUGGAGAAGCUCAACCAGUCAUAUCGCCUCCUGUUCUCCCAGUAUCCAGCUCUGAACCAGUACUGCCCAGUCAGCAACUCCACAA